AGUGAACGCUGGCGGUAGGCCUAACACAUGCAAGUCGAACGGCAGCACAGUAAGAGCUUGCUCUUACGGGUGGCGAGUGGCGGACGGGUGAGGAAUACAUCGGAAUCUACUUUUUCGUGGGGGAUAACGUAGGGAAACUUACGCUAAUACCGCAUACGACCUACGGGUGAAAGCAGGGGAUCUUCGGACCUUGCGCGAUUGAAUGAGCCGAUGUCGGAUUAGCUAGUUGGCGGGGUAAAGGCCCACCAAGGCGACGAUCCGUAGCUGGUCUGAGAGGAUGAACCGCCACAAUGGAACUUAGACACGGGUCCGACUCCCAAGGGGGGCAGCAGUGGGGAAUAUUGGACAAAGGGCGCAAGCCUGAUCCAGCCAUACCGCGUGGGUGAAGAAGGCCUUCGGGUUGUAAAGCCCUUUUGUUGGGAAAGAAAAGCAGCAGGUUAAUACCCCGCUGUUCUGACGGUACCCAAAGAAUAAGCACCGGCUAACUUCGUG
This 492-nucleotide ribosomal RNA is filed under the name uncultured bacterium. RNAcentral's name for it is "partial 16S ribosomal RNA". It matches the Rfam family "Bacterial small subunit ribosomal RNA", at positions 29 to 507 of the family's 1533-position model. The record is from RNAcentral.